AGAACGAACGCUGGCGGCAUGCCUAAUACAUGCAAGUCGAACGAACUCUUCGGAGUUAGUGGCGCACGGGUGCGUAACGCGUGGGAAUCUGCCCCUUGGUUCGGAAUAACAGUUGGAAACGACUGCUAAUACCGGAUGAUGACGAAAGUCCAAAGAUUUAUCGCCAAGGGAUGAGCCCGCGUAGGAUUAGCUAGUUGGUGAGGUAAAGGCUCACCAAGGCAACGAUCCUUAGCUGGUCUGAGAGGAUGAUCAGCCACACUGGGACUGAGACACGGCCCAGACUCCUACGGGAGCAGCAGUAGGGAAUAGUUAGGACAAUGGGACGAAAGCC
RNAcentral lists this ribosomal RNA (331 nucleotides) under uncultured soil bacterium. Its description in RNAcentral is "bacterial SSU rRNA". It matches the Rfam family "Bacterial small subunit ribosomal RNA", at positions 26 to 383 of the family's 1533-position model. The record is from RNAcentral.